RNAcentral lists this ribosomal RNA (542 nucleotides) under uncultured Chlorobiota bacterium. Its description in RNAcentral is "bacterial SSU rRNA". It matches the Rfam family "Bacterial small subunit ribosomal RNA", at positions 359 to 905 of the family's 1533-position model. The record is from RNAcentral. Lineage: Bacteria; Pseudomonadati; Chlorobiota.
GUUAGUAGCACAUGGCGUGCAGCUGAUCAGCCAUGCCGCGUGCAGGAAGACGGCCUUCUGGGUUGUAAACUGCUUUUGCCAGGGGAUAAAAAGUCCCUGCGGGGAAAAUUGAAGGUACCUGGUGAAUAAGCCACGGCUAACUACGUGCCAGCAGCCGCGGUAAUACGUAGGUGGCAAGCGUUGUCCGGAUUUAUUGGGUUUAAAGGGUGCGUAGGUUGUUUUGUAAGUCAGUGGUGAAAUCCGGCAGCUCAACUGUCGAUGUGCCAUUGAUACUGCAGAACUUGAGUACAGACGAGGUAGGCGGAAUUGACGGUGUAGCGGUGAAAUGCUUAGAUAUCGUCAAGAACACCGAUAGCGAAGGCAGCUUACUAGACUGUAACUGACACUGAUGCACGAAAGUGUGGGGAUCAAACAGGAUUAGAUACCCUGGUAGUCCACACUGUAAACGAUGAUUACUCGAUGUUGGCGAUACACAGCCAGCGUCUUAGCGAAAGCGAUAAGUAAUCCACCUGGGGAGUACGCCCGCAAGGGUGAAACUCAAG